GAGGAGAUUUUUUUUUUCUUUGCUUCAUUUGUGUCGCCUAUGCUCUCUGUCUCAGUUUUACGAUCCACCACCAAAUUUUUGUUCACCGUCGUUCUUGUCUCCGCCUGAUUGCAUCUAGGUUGUUCUCAAGAGCUUUGUGAGAAUCUCUGCUUCAGCGACUCAAACACCCGAAAGAGUUUCACAAGGGUCGUUUCGUUGUGAGUGAUGAAGAUGCUUUGUUGAAUACUCAGUGCCCGAAGAAAUUGGAGCUGCGAUGGCAUAGUGAAGUCACUUCUAGCGUUUAUGCUACACCCUUGAUUGCUGAUAUUAACAGUGAUGGAAAGCUUGACAUUGUUUUUCUCUCUUCUCUCUCCGUCGGUUCACCAUUCUCUCUGUUUCUGGGAUGGGUGAUUUCUUCAAUGAGUCGAAUCUUCGAUUUGGAAUAUUGAAAAGAAGAUAGACUUCUGACUCUUCAAAUUUGAUUCAGCCUUUAUCUAGAUUU
Camelina sativa (false flax) is the source of this 481-nucleotide long non-coding RNA. RefSeq lists it as uncharacterized. NCBI's taxonomy places the organism in Eukaryota, Viridiplantae, Streptophyta, Magnoliopsida, Brassicales, Brassicaceae. The record is from RefSeq and is a predicted model, not a curated record.